This 254-nucleotide ribosomal RNA is filed under the name uncultured bacterium. Its description in RNAcentral is "partial 16S ribosomal RNA". It matches the Rfam family "Bacterial small subunit ribosomal RNA", at positions 524 to 776 of the family's 1533-position model. The record is from RNAcentral.
UACGUAGGCAGCAAGCGUUGUUCGGAGUUACUGGGCGUAAAGGGUGUGUAGGCGGUUAUUUAAGUUUGGUGUGAAAUCUCCCGGCUCAACCGGGAGGGUGCGCCGAAUACUGAAUGACUUGGAGUGCGGGAGAGGAAAGUGGAAUUCCUGGUGUAGCGGUGAAAUGCGUAGAUAUCUGGAGGAACACCGGUGGCGAAGGCGGCAUCCUGGACCGGUAUUGACGCUGAGGCGCGAAAGCCAGGGGAGCAAACGGG